AUUGAACGCUGGCGGCAGGCCUAACACAUGCAAGUCGAGCGGAUGAAGGGAGCUUGCUCCUGGAUUCAGCGGCGGACGGGUGAGUAAUGCCUAGGAAUCUGCCUGGUAGUGGGGGAUAACGUCCGGAAACGGGCGCUAAUACCGCAUACGUCCUGAGGGAGAAAGUGGGGGAUCUUCGGACCUCACGCUAUCAGAUGAGCCUAGGUCGGAUUAGCUAGUUGGUGGGGUAAAGGCCUACAAAGGCGACGAUCCGUAACUGGUCUGAGAGCAUGAUCAGUCACACUGGAACUGGGAGGCAAGCCGCACUACUACAGAGGGCAGCCAGCGAGAAUGGUAGACGAUAAGGCAAAGCCUGCGCCAACCAAGCCACGCGUGUGAAGAGGAGCAUCGGGUUAUAGAACACUUUAAGGUGGGAGCAAAGGCAGUAGCUUAGUACCUAGCUGUCUUGACGUAACCAGCAGAAAGGGCACCGGCUAACUACGUG
Molecule: ribosomal RNA, 484 nt
Filed under: uncultured bacterium
Lineage: Bacteria
Description: partial 16S ribosomal RNA
Rfam family: Bacterial small subunit ribosomal RNA
Source: RNAcentral